This 484-nucleotide ribosomal RNA is filed under the name uncultured bacterium. Its description in RNAcentral is "partial 16S ribosomal RNA". It matches the Rfam family "Bacterial small subunit ribosomal RNA", at positions 28 to 507 of the family's 1533-position model. The record is from RNAcentral.
AUUGAACGCUGGCGGCAUGCUUUACACAUGCAAGUCGAACGGCAGCGCGGGCUUCGGCCUGGCGGCGAGUGGCGAACGGGCGAGUAAUGCAUCGGAACGUGCCCAGUAGUGGGGGAUAGCCCGGCGAAAGCCGGAUUAAUACCGCAUACGACCUGAGGGUGAAAGCGGGGGACCGAAAGGCCUCGCGCUAUUGGAGCGGCCGAUGUCGGAUUAGCUAGUUGGUGGGGUAAAGGCUUACCAAGGCGACGAUCCGUAGCUGGUCUGAGAGGACGACCAGCCACACUGGGACUGAGACACGGCCCAGACUCCUACGGGAGGCAGCAGUGGGGAAUUUUGGACAAUGGGGGCAACCCUGGUCCAGCCAUGCCGCGUGCGGGAAGAAGGCCUUCGGGUUGUAAACCGCUUUUGUUCGGGAAGAAAUACUCUGGGCUAAUACCCCGGGGGGAUGACGGUACCGGAAGAAUAAGCACCGGCUAACUACGUG